Falco peregrinus (peregrine falcon) is the source of this 2374-nucleotide long non-coding RNA. RefSeq lists it as uncharacterized. The record is from RefSeq and is a predicted model, not a curated record. NCBI's taxonomy places the organism in Eukaryota, Metazoa, Chordata, Aves, Falconiformes, Falconidae. The transcript has 7 exons.
UCAAUCUGACAGCCGUGCUACCCCUAGUCUUAGAUACACUUGUGCCCACUGCCUGCUGGCCAGUGAGCAUCACAGAAGAUGGCACAGGACGGGGCUGUGGUCAGGGUAUUCCUUUCCCACAAAGCUCACCAGGCUGUUUUCAGUGUCCUGAGCCAUUCUACUUAUUUCUCUCUCACUUAGGGAGAGUGGCUUCUGAGCCUGAGUUGAGAUGCUCCAAAUCUCAUCCCCUCCCCACUUUCCUCUUGGCUCUUCUUGGCACCCACUGUGCCCGUGGCCACAGACAUUAGAAAUCACCCUUGGCAUUCUGGGGCGGUACAGAUGCAAGAAAUUCCCUCAGGCGAGCUGGGUCAUAAACCACACCAUGAGCGCUUUGUCAAAGGCUGACUUCAAAGUGGCCCCAAACGGUGUUCCCACACAGCUGUUUCCCUCCUGCCCCACACCCCGAUUCUGCUGGAAAUUCUCACCUAUUAGUUAUGCCCUGCUGGAAAAGGUAAGCUGGGGAGGCAGGACGCGAGGUGAUGCGCCAUGCAGAGGGACCCAGGCUGUCUCAUUAAUGCCUCUGGCUGGAGAUGCUGCUGCUCUGCCUCCCUGUUGCUAAGGAAGGUUUCUAUGGCAAAGGCCCACCAAGAAAGUGAGAAUUAGAGAGUUAAUGUUCAAAACAGAUGAGCCUGACAUUUGUCGGCAGCUGGCUUCUUCAGGGGAAAUAAGCUGCUAGAAAGGAAGACUGGCCAUCUCGGAUGCUGUGCAGAGUGGGAGGUGCAGCUGGUGUGUUUACCAGUUUGUCUUGUUUUAACGUUAGUAGUUUGUGGUAAAUGCAACCUAUUAAAUGUUGGUUGAGAAAUACUCGUGUUAUAGGUGUGCUCUCAUAGGUUGAUGAGCUGCAAACUUCUGUCACACCCCAAAAACUCUUGCUGUCUUCUAGGCAUUUCCUCAUCAGCUGGAGCAGAGAGUGGGGAGGUAAACAUGACUUCCAUACCCUCAGGAAAAAUACACUAGUCAGGCUGGGACUGUGACUACACACAUGAGACAUCCAAAAAUCCUGGCAUCCCUGAGGCUUACCAAUACCCAAGACCCAUGGAGCACCUUCCUCAGCAGCCUGGAAUGGUCCCACAGUGCUGCUGGUCUAUUUUCUGUGUGUGCUGCAGAAACCCAGAGGCAUUUGCAUCUCAUACCCAGUGCUCCAAGGUCGAGGUAAUUUGGGAGGCACAGAGCUCCUGCACAUGAAACCACGUUCUGUCGGCAGUGGUGCGUCCCUGGUGGGAAAAGAAUUUCAUUUCCACGCACACAAUCAGCCUGAGAAAGGCAAAUGGUUCUGCAGAAAGAAAUCACCCAGCAGAAAAAUUGCUCUCGAGAUCAGGCCUCGGAGACAUGAGACAAGCAAGCAAACCAGUAAUUCUCUUGGAAGAAGGAAAGCAGGAAGCCUGUUACAGAUGCUGUCGGCCACAGAAACAUCUGGGAAGAGGAUCCUAUUUUCUGCUUCCUAGGUUAAAAGAGUGUUUUGACUCAUCCAUGCAAGAGGAAAAUGAAGGAUUUGCUGUGGCCCAGAGCAAGAGCUCUGACAGAACUCCCAUUGUCUGUGCUUGCUCGGGGUAACGGUGACACUGACGAUGAAGUCUUAUUUCUGCAGCCUUUGUACUUGGCUCAUUAGACAUUGCCUCACCGAAAAGCAUCCCCACCCCACGAAGCUGAAGAAUUCUACAGGGAAAGCCACUUUUAAACUAUAAUCCUGGAAACACCUAUGUCUGAGCUGUCCUAGUGAAAGUCAUGUUUGAGUCAUAUUAUACAAGCACCGUUCCUUCUGUAAAAGAGCCGGAGCUUUUCUAGAACAUCCGCUGCAGGUCUUAACUGGAGCUCAGGAGACAUCUCAAGUGUCCAGGUGAAUUUUACUUAAGAUCUUCUGUGAGUGAACCAUUUUCCUAAGAGCAAUGAUCUCCUAUAUAAAGGACAAACUACAAUUUAUCCUAAAGAUGGGCGACUGUGAAGCUAGCCUGGAUGGGGAGUGUGGUUUCUCUUCUAUUAGCACCUAACAAAUGGGAAAAUCACCUUUUGGCUAACAAAUGUAGAAGUUCCUGUUUAUAAAAUGAGGCAAUGAAGUUCACAGUUUCGCAUGCACAAAGACAAUGCAGCCUGACAGAAGUUCCCCCCAAAAGAGACAAAAAAAAUAUAAAUCUUCUUUCUGGGAUGUUUCCAUGGUAGCAGUAAUUGGCUCGCUGAGUCUCACUCAGCAGUUGUCUCUGAUGUGAAUGUAAUGUUUCCAGGGAAAACUGGCAAUGAAAAUUCAAAAGCUUUCCUAUGGAUGAGUCCCUGCCCUAAGAGUUUGAGGGGGAAUCCGACAGCAGUUUUACCGUAAUGAAAAUAAAGAAAUAUAUUCCAU